GACGAACGCUGGCGGCGUGCCUAAUACAUGCAAGUCGAACGAGAGCGCCCGGUGCUUGCCCUGGUCAAUCUAGUGGCGAACGGGUGAGUAACACGUGGGUAACCUGCCCAUCAGAGGGGGAUAACAUCCGGAAACGGAUGCUAAAACCGCAUAGGUCUUCGAGCCGCAUGGCUUGAAGAGGAAAAGAGGCGCAAGCUUCUGCUGAUGGAUGGACCCGCGGUGCAUUAGCUAGUUGGUGAGGUAACGGCUCACCAAGGCCGUGAUGCAUAGCCGACCUGAGGGGGUGAGCCGCCACAUUGGGGCUGAGACCCGGCCCAACCCCCUACGGGGGGCCGCAGGAGGGAAUUUCCCGAAAGGGGGGAAAGCUUGCCGGGGCAACGCCCGGGGGGUGAAGAAGGUUUUCGGCCCUUAAAACUUUGUUUUUAGAGAAGAACAAGUGCUAGAGUAACUGUUAGCGCCUUGGCGGUUUCUAACCAAAAAGCCCCGGCUACCUCCGU
Molecule: ribosomal RNA, 497 nt
Filed under: uncultured bacterium
Lineage: Bacteria
Description: partial 16S ribosomal RNA
Rfam family: Bacterial small subunit ribosomal RNA
Source: RNAcentral